RNAcentral lists this ribosomal RNA (200 nucleotides) under uncultured bacterium. RNAcentral's name for it is "partial 16S ribosomal RNA". It matches the Rfam family "Bacterial small subunit ribosomal RNA", at positions 8 to 222 of the family's 1533-position model. The record is from RNAcentral.
AGAGUUUGAUCCUGGCUCAGAACGAACGCUGGCGGCAUGCCUAACACAUGCAAGUCGAACGCUUUCAUGGUUUCGGCCAUGGAGGAGUGGCGCACGGGUGAGUAGCGCGUGGGAACCUGCCUUUCAGUGGGGGAUAACCGAGGGAAACUUCGGCUAAUACCGCAUGCGCCCGGGCAACCGGGGAAAGAUUUAUCGCUGAG